Molecule: ribosomal RNA, 252 nt
Filed under: uncultured bacterium
Lineage: Bacteria
Description: partial 16S ribosomal RNA
Rfam family: Bacterial small subunit ribosomal RNA
Source: RNAcentral
UACGGAGGGUGCAAGCGUUAUCCGGAUUACUGGGUUUAAAGGGUGCGUAGGCGGGCCUUUAAGUCAGUGGUGAAAGCUCCGAGCUUAACUCGGAAACUGCCAUUGAUACUAUUGGUCUUGAAUUCGGUCGAGGUUGGCGGAAUGUGUCGUGUAGCGGUGAAAUGCUUAGAUAUGACACAGAACACCGAUUGCGAAGGCAGCUAGCUAGACCGACAUUGACGCUGAGGCACGAAAGCGUGGGGAUCAAACAGG